This 196-nucleotide non-coding RNA is filed under the name Streptomyces sp. The record is from RNAcentral. Lineage: Bacteria; Bacillati; Actinomycetota; Actinomycetes; Kitasatosporales; Streptomycetaceae.
CUAGGGUCAGCUGGCCUUGGUGUUCGGGAAACCGGUGGAAAACCGGUGCGGCCCUCGCCACUGUGAUCGGGAAGUCCAGCUCCACCCCCUUGCGGGAGCCACUGGGACCGCACGGGAGACCGUACGGACCCGGGAAGGCGGAGCCGGGGCGGCAGUACCCGUCAGCCAGGAGACCGGCCGGGGCGCGUACGUCCAU